This 24-nucleotide non-coding RNA is filed under the name Arabidopsis thaliana (thale cress). Lineage: Eukaryota; Viridiplantae; Streptophyta; Magnoliopsida; Brassicales; Brassicaceae. The record is from RNAcentral.
UACAUCUCGUGGUUCAACUGGUAC